This 1790-nucleotide unclassified non-coding RNA is filed under the name Athalia rosae (coleseed sawfly). RNAcentral's name for it is "misc RNA ENSAEAG00005000844.1". Lineage: Eukaryota; Metazoa; Arthropoda; Insecta; Hymenoptera; Athaliidae. The record is from RNAcentral.
UCAGAGCAAGUUCCCCGAAACUUCCACCUUCUCCUAUCGUCGUGACUAGUUCACUGUUCACAAAUAUCUCCACCUCACCUUGAUCGAUCACAUAGAAAUUAUCACCUUCAUCACCUGUGAUAAUGGAAAUAACCAGGUAGAAAAGUGACAGGGAACAUUGCGUCGAAUAUAUCCGAGCGUUCGUUCUCAUCCAAGUGGGCAAAUAGGACAUUUUUUGCAAUAGCUUUGCUCAGGGCGGCCAUGGUUUUAUAGUCCUUUGGUACAACUUUUUUGACAUAGCUCGUCGCAUCCUCUUCUGAUACUGGUUCAGCAGAAAUUCCCCCUCUUCUUCGAGGUACUUGUGGUCCUUGCUGACCGGCAGGCAUAUCCUCUGUAUCUUCUGGACUCGUCGCACUCUGCUGUUUUGCAUCGUGUGCUUGUUCCUUUGGACAUCCAAACAAAUAGGCACAGGUAUAACUUGGCUUUCGUUAAAUCCAAUUGCGCGUAUAAUCCAGUAUAAGAUUCGCGGGAGGAUUCAAACACGAAUCACCCAACGAUUGCGUGGGGGUUUGAAAUACGGAGAAUUCUUGGUGAACACCUGGGGGAUAAGUUCUCCGCGGACAACCACUCGACUCGAUAAAAUAACUCCAACUGCAAGAUUUCGCUGUUUAUUAGUCGUUGAUAUUUUUCAAUGUGUAUACCUAUACGCGCCAUCAAAUCCCCGCACUCUGAAUACAUUUACAGAAUUUGCUAUCUUUAGAAUCGCUGCAAACCGGCAGCGAAAACCGCUGAAAACAAACCGAGAACAUUGAUCACGAAAACGCCUAACAAUAUAAAACCAAUUACACGUAGGCACAAUAUUUCUCAGCAUUUAAUAUUUGCCUUCUAACGGUGUUUAAUUUUGUUUGAGCUUUGCGAUAUUUAACGAAAUCUGAGAAUUUAAAUGGAAAUAAACGGAGAUGACACCCUUCGGGUAUCAGUAAAUGAUUCCUAAUUUUUUGGUGUAUAAAUUUUCGGGACUCAUUCGAAUACACUGCUAGCUCUAGUUAGCUGUGAGUAAAAGCCUUCUAUAAUAUAAUGAUAACAUCGUCGUGUGUAACGAGAGCAUCUCUCCCUUUUACUGGGGCUAGCCGCCCUAUAUUCAAAGCUACAGUAGAAAUCGAUAUAACAAAAUGAGAAGAUCCGACGAGAAAGUGUUGAAUAAAAAUGACAAGGGGCUGGAGGGGUUGAAGAAAAUAGAAAGAGCGAUCGGCUCAGUAUAGAAAUUAUAAAAAAUGAAAAUUGAAAAAUACUCCCUCUUAGUUUGAAUCACUUUGAAUUAUGAAUUUCAUUUCAUAUCUGUUCUGAAAUUUUGGCCUAUUUUCGGGUAAACAAAUUAAAAAUAUCCUCAUUAUGACAUAAGUUAUGGCAGACGACAGAGAACAGACGACGUUCAGCUCUCGUGUCGAGAUGACGAGUUUUUUGAUUUCGGAUUGCGAUUAUUAAAUUUCUCACCCUUUCAAGCUUCUGAAAAUACUCGCGUAGGAAUGAUAUAGGAUUCUCUGGUCUACCGACGCACAGCUGAACAAUACAGUCUUUUAAAACUUGCUGGAUAUUAUGCCGUUGAACAUAUUCCUCGCACUCCCGUAAACUCUGCUCUUCUUCCAGGUUAGCCGCCAUAUUGUGGUGCCCGAAUAACCACCGUUAACCAACCAAACAAAAUAACUCGCCAAUAGCAAAGCGUCCCCAAAAAAGAUAACGCUCAAACUCAGGCCAAAGCUAGCUAAAGUCUCGAACUGCCGCGACCUCCUUUUUACUUCUAUUUACUUUUU